AUCACAGAAACUUUGAUAGUGUAAACCAUUCAUUUUUCUCACCAAAUAUCAUGUCAUGCACACAAUUCAACUUACUUUCAAUAUCAGUAAGUUUUUUGGUGAGCGAUAGUUUAAUGUUUUCCGCAGACUCCAAAGCCUUUACAGUUCUUUCCCUGAAUUUCCUCUGUUCUUCCAACGUAUCAUUGUAAAGCUUGCUCGCUUCAUCAAAUCUUUGCUUGAGAUCUCCAGAUUCCUGAAAGAGAGAAGGAAUUGCAGAAGCCAGGAACAAAUGGGCCAUUAUAAGAGUACGAAAAUUAAACUAAAUUUCUCUAUUUUGUUUAUUUGCUACCAUCCAGUAUCGUGGUGGAAGAUGAAUAUUGAAUGCUGGGUAUUGAAGUAAUGUGAA
Paramuricea clavata is the source of this 385-nucleotide non-coding RNA. Lineage: Eukaryota; Metazoa; Cnidaria; Anthozoa; Malacalcyonacea; Plexauridae. The record is from the annotation of a GenBank genome assembly.